GACGAACGCUGGCGGCGUGCUUAACACAUGCAAGUCACGGGGGCUCGCAAGAGCAACCGGCGAACGGGUGCGUAACACGUGAGCAACCUGCCGAUCUGUGGGGGAUAGCCGGGCUAACGCCCGGGUAAUACCGCAUACGGUUCCCGCGAGGAGUCUCGCGGGAAAGAAACCUCCGGGGCAGAUCGAGGGGCUCGCGGCCUAUCAGCUAGUUGGGGGGGUAAUGGCCCACCAAGGCGACGACGGGUAGCGGUCUGAGAGGAUGGCCAGCCACAUUGGGACUGAGAGACGGCCCAGACUCCUACGGGAGGCAGCAGUGGGGAAUCUUGCGC
Molecule: ribosomal RNA, 329 nt
Filed under: uncultured bacterium
Lineage: Bacteria
Description: bacterial SSU rRNA
Rfam family: Bacterial small subunit ribosomal RNA
Source: RNAcentral